RNAcentral lists this ribosomal RNA (1137 nucleotides) under Vibrio vulnificus. Its description in RNAcentral is "partial 23S ribosomal RNA". It matches the Rfam family "Bacterial large subunit ribosomal RNA", at positions 1 to 1192 of the family's 2925-position model. The record is from RNAcentral. Lineage: Bacteria; Pseudomonadati; Pseudomonadota; Gammaproteobacteria; Vibrionales; Vibrionaceae.
GGUUAAGUGACUAAGCGUACACGGUGGAUGCCUUGGCAGUCAGAGGCGAUGAAGGACGUAGUAACUUGCGAUAAGCGUAGAUGAGGCAGUAACAGCCACUUGAGUCUACGAUUUCCGAAUGGGGAAACCCACUGGCAUAAGCCAGUAUCAUUGAGUGAAUACAUAGCUCAAUGAAGCGAACCGGGAGAACUGAAACAUCUAAGUACCCCGAGGAAAAGAAAUCAACCGAGAUUCCGAAAGUAGCGGCGAGCGAAAUUGGAUUAGCCCUUAAGCUUUACAUGUGUUAGACGAACGGUCUGGAAAGUCCGACGAUACAGGGUGAUAGUCCCGUAGUUGUAGAUGCAUGUUCAGUGAAAUCGAGUAGGGCGGGACACGUGUUAUCCUGUCUGAAUAUGGGGGGACCAUCCUCCAAGGCUAAAUACUCCUGACUGACCGAUAGUGAACCAGUACCGUGAGGGAAAGGCGAAAAGAACCCCUGUGAGGGGAGUGAAAUAGAACCUGAAACCGUGUACGUACAAGCAGUAGGAGCACCUUCGUGGUGUGACUGCGUACCUUUUGUAUAAUGGGUCAGCGACUUAUAUUCAGUGGCAAGGUUAACCAUCUAGGGGAGCCGUAGGGAAACCGAGUCUUAACUGGGCGCCAUAGUCUCUGGAUAUAGACCCGAAACCGAGUGAUCUAGCCAUGGGCAGGUUGAAGGUUGAGUAACAUCAACUGGAGGACCGAACCGACUAAUGUUGAAAAAUUAGCGGAUGACUUGUGGCUAGGGGUGAAAGGCCAAUCAAACUCGGAGAUAGCUGGUUCUCCCCGAAAGCUAUUUAGGUAGCGCCUCGGACGAAUACUACUGGGGGUAGAGCACUGUUAAGGCUAGGGGGUCAUCCCGACUUACCAACCCUUUGCAAACUCCGAAUACCAGUAAGUACUAUCCGGGAGACACACGGCGGGUGCUAACGUCCGUCGUGGAGAGGGAAACAACCCAGACCGCCAGCUAAGGUCCCAAAUUACAGCUAAGUGGGAAACGAUGUGGGAAGGCUUAGACAGCUAGGAUGUUGGCUUAGAAGCAGCCAUCAUUUAAAGAAAGCGUAAUAGCUCACUAGUCGAGUCGGCCUGCGCGGAAGAUGUAACGGGGCUAAGUUGUAA